This 455-nucleotide ribosomal RNA is filed under the name uncultured archaeon. RNAcentral's name for it is "bacterial SSU rRNA". It matches the Rfam family "Archaeal small subunit ribosomal RNA", at positions 879 to 1340 of the family's 1478-position model. The record is from RNAcentral.
CCACAAGGGGUGAAGCUUGCGGUUUAAUUGGAGUCAACGCCGGAAAUCUCACCGGGAGCGACAGCAGUUUGAAGGCCAGAUUAAAGGUCUUGCCAGACGAGCUGAGAGGAGGUGCAUGACCGUCGCCAGUUCGUGCCGUGAGGUGUCCUGUUAAGUCAGGCAACGAUCGAGACCCGCGUCCACUGUUGCAACUAGCUUUGUGCUGGGCACACUGUGGAGACCGCCACUGAUAAAGUGGAGGAAGGAGCGGGCCACGGCAGGUCAGUAUGCCCCGAAUCUCCCGGGCCACACGCGAGCUGCAAUGGCAGGUACAAUGGGUUCCGACCUCGAAAGGGGAAGGCAAUCUCGAAAGCCUGCCGUAGUUGGGACCGAGGGCUGCAACCCGCCCUCGUGAACAUGGAAUCCCUAGUAAUCGCGUGUCAUCAUCGCGCGGUGAAUACGUCCCUGCUCCUUGC